Molecule: ribosomal RNA, 474 nt
Filed under: uncultured bacterium
Lineage: Bacteria
Description: bacterial SSU rRNA
Rfam family: Bacterial small subunit ribosomal RNA
Source: RNAcentral
ACUCCUACGGGAGGCAGCAGUAGGGAAUAUUGGACAAUGGGCGCAAGCCUGAUCCAGCCAUGCCGCGUGAGUGAAGAAGGCCCUCGGGUUGUAAAGCUCUUUUGUUGGGGAAGAAAAGCCUUGGGUUAAUACCCCGGGUCCGUCGACAGGUACCCCGAAAGAAUCAAAGCACCGGACUAACCGUUCACUGUGCCAGCAGCCGCGGUAAUACGAAGGGUGCAAGCGUUACUCGGAAUUACUGGGCGUAAAGCGUGCGUAGGUGGUUCGUUAAAGUCUGAUGUGAAAGCCCUGGGCUCAACCUGGGAAUUGCAUUGGAUACUGGCGGGCUAGAGUGCGGUAGAGGGUAGUGGAAUUCCCGGUGUAGCAGUGAAAUGCGUAGAGAUCGGGAGGAACAUCUGUGGCGAAGGCGACUGCCUGGACCAGCACUGACACUCAGAUGCGAAAGCGUGGGGAGCAAACAGGAUUAGAUACCCU